AUGACCUAUGAGGCGUACGAUAUCAACGGCUACACAUUCUACACCGAGAACAAGGACAUGAAGAGCGAUGGUUAUCAGAACUCCGGGGUAACGAUGGAAUCCUACACCGGUAACGACAAGGACAAAUACUACGGAAGGAUCGAGGAGAUCUGGGAGCUGAGCUACGUUGGAGAGAAGGUCUCGAUGUUCGGUGUCAUAUGGGCCAAGAGCGUCCUAAAAGAAGACCGGUAUUUCACCAUCAUGGUUAUACCCGAAGCCAAAUCCAAGACCGCGGGCGCAAAUGUCACCGCGAAAAAUGAGCCAUGGGUACUAGCUUCCCAAGUGGACCAAUGCUUCUUCAUUACCGACCCGUCAAAGCCCAGUCGUGUUGUCGUGAGGAGAGGCAAAAGGAAGAUCAUCGGAAUGGAUAGAGUAGCCAAUGAGCAAGACUUCGACAAGUACGGCGACCCGAAGAUUGAACAUGACGACGACGAUGAAGUAGCAGCAUACACCACAAGAAGAAGCAGGACCACCCUACCUAAAGGACGUCUGUUCCACAGAAUAACUCCAUUUGCAAAAAAGAAUGACAAGAAGAUUAUGAACAGAUAG
RNAcentral lists this ribosomal RNA (588 nucleotides) under Triticum aestivum (bread wheat). RNAcentral's name for it is "partial small subunit ribosomal RNA". Lineage: Eukaryota; Viridiplantae; Streptophyta; Magnoliopsida; Poales; Poaceae. The record is from RNAcentral.